RNAcentral lists this ribosomal RNA (254 nucleotides) under uncultured bacterium. RNAcentral describes it as "partial 16S ribosomal RNA". It matches the Rfam family "Bacterial small subunit ribosomal RNA", at positions 524 to 776 of the family's 1533-position model. The record is from RNAcentral.
GACGUAGGGCGCGAGCGUUGUCCGGAUUUAUUGGGCGUAAAGAGCUCGUAGGCGGCUUGUCGCGUCGAAUGUGAAAACCCACGGCUCAACUGUGGGCUUGCAUUCGAUACGGGCAGGCUAGAGUUCGGUAGGGGAGACGUGGAAUUCCUGGUGUAGCGGUGAAAUGCGCAGAUAUCAGGAGGAACACCGAUGGCGAAGGCAGGUCUCUGGGCCACUACUGACGCUGAGAAGCGAAAGCAUGGGGAGCGAACAGG